GACGAACGCUGGCGGCGUGCCUAAUACAUGCAAGUCGAACGCUUCUUUCCUCCCGAGUGCUUGCACUCAAUUGGAAAGAGGAGUGGCGGACGGGUGAGUAACACGUGGGUAACCUACCCAUCAGAGGGGGAUGACACUUGGAAACAGGUGCUAAUACCGCAUAACAGUUUAUGCCGCAUGGCAUAAGAGUGAAAGGCGCUUUCGGGUGUCGCUGAUGGAUGGACCCGCGGUGCAUUAGCUAGUUGGUGAGGUAACGGCUCACCAAGGCCACGAUGCAUAGCCGACCUGAGAGGGUGAUCGGCCACACUGAGACUGAGACACGGCCCAGACUCCUACGGGAGGCAGCAGUAGGGAAUCUUCGGCAAUGGACGAAAGUCUGACCGAGCAACGCCGCGUGAGUGAAGAAGGUUUUCGGAUCGUAAAACUCUGUUGUUAGAGAAGAACAAGGACGUUAGUAACUGAACGUCCCCUGACGGUAUCUAACCAGAAAGCCACGGCUAACUACGUG
RNAcentral lists this ribosomal RNA (508 nucleotides) under uncultured bacterium. RNAcentral's name for it is "partial 16S ribosomal RNA". It matches the Rfam family "Bacterial small subunit ribosomal RNA", at positions 28 to 507 of the family's 1533-position model. The record is from RNAcentral.